AGAUGUUGGGGUGAUCUGGCUAUAGCAUCUGUCAUCUUAUUGACCACCAAGGUUGAUUGAGCUCAUCUGCUGGUUAGGGGGACAUCCUAUUCUCCCUCAGCACUCUGCAUAAGAUCCUCCCAAAGCUGCACACCUGGUCAAAUAGAAUGACCUUUUAGGAUAUAGAACUGUUUGUUCCUUGGUCAAAGGUAUAGGAAUAGAGUUUGGUGUUGGUGGCUCAUGCCUGUAUCCCUAGAUAAUCAAUGAGGAGGCUGAGAUAUGAGGAUUCUAGUU
RNAcentral lists this small RNA (273 nucleotides) under Dipodomys ordii (Ord's kangaroo rat). Its description in RNAcentral is "7SK RNA (ENSDORG00000026880.1)". The stretch from base 1 to 199 matches the Rfam family "7SK RNA". Rfam says of the family: 7SK was discovered as an abundant small nuclear RNA in the mid-70s but a possible function has only recently been suggested. Two independent studies have found that 7SK RNA binds the CDK9/cyclin T complex (known as elongation factor P-TEFb). Lineage: Eukaryota; Metazoa; Chordata; Mammalia; Rodentia; Heteromyidae. The record is from RNAcentral.